UGGGGAAUUUUGGACAACGGGCGCAAGCCUGAUCCAGCCAUGCCGCGUGCGGGAAGAAGGCCUUCGGUUGUAAACCGCUUUUGUCAGGGAAGAAAUCUUCUGAGUUAAUACCUCGGGAGGAUGACGGUACCUGAAGAAUAAGCACCGGCUAACUACGUGCCAGCAGCCGCGGUAAUACGUAGGGUGCAAGCGUUAAUCGGAAUACUGGGCGUAAAGCGUGCGCAGGCGGUUUUGUAAGACAGAGGUGAAAUCCCCGGGCUCAACCUGGGAACUGCCUUUGUGACUGCAAGGCUUGAGUGCGGCAGAGGGGGAUGGAAUUCCGCGUGUAGCAGUGAAAUGCGUAGGUAUGCGGAGGAACACCGAUGGCGAAGGCAAUCCCCUGGGCCUGCACUGACGCUCAUGCACGAAAGCGUGGGGAGCAAACAGGAUUAGAUACCCUGGUAGUCCACGCCCUAAA
RNAcentral lists this ribosomal RNA (457 nucleotides) under uncultured bacterium. RNAcentral describes it as "partial 16S ribosomal RNA". It matches the Rfam family "Bacterial small subunit ribosomal RNA", at positions 355 to 806 of the family's 1533-position model. The record is from RNAcentral.